Molecule: non-coding RNA, 467 nt
Organism: Heterocephalus glaber (naked mole-rat)
Lineage: Eukaryota; Metazoa; Chordata; Mammalia; Rodentia; Bathyergidae
Source: Rfam
AGAUAUGCCAUGGUAAUCCUGCUCAGUAGGAGAGGAACUGCUAGUUCAGACAUUUGGUGUACGCACUUGGCUGAGGAGGCAAUGGGGCGAAGCUACCAUCUGUGGGAUUAUGACUGAAUGCCCCUAAAUCAGAAUCCCACACAGACGGAAUGAUAUGGCAGCGCCAAAGAAGUCUUGGAUAGCCUGUCUGCCCACCCCACCCGGUACCAGCAGGCCACCUGGAGCCCACGUGGGACAUCUCCUGUUGCGCUCUGGGACCAGGGUCUGGUGUGGAGAGCCCUUCGUCCUGAGAAACAGGGGUAUGGCCAGAAAGAGGGCCGCCCUCUCACCUGUCUUGUAAAGCACGCUUGUGGGGAACUGGCCGCUAAACCACUGUAAACUACCUGCUUCUGUGUUGGGGUAUCAUACAUAGUAGAGCAGCUCCCUCACUGUGAUCUAUUGAAAGUCAGCCCUUGACACAAGGAUUU